UAUAGGAAUUAUUAGGGUUUGGUUUAGGGUUUGGUUAGAAUUUGGUUUGGAGUUUAGGAUUUGGAUUAGGAUUUGAUUUAGGAUUUAGGGUUUGGAUUAGGAUUUGAUUUAGAGUUUAGGAUUUAGAUUAGGAUUUGAUUUAGAAUUUAGGAUUUGGAUUAUGGUUUGAUUUAGGAUUUAGGAUUUGAUUAGGGUUUGGUUUAGGGUUUAGGAUUUGGAUAGGGUUUGAUUUAGGAUUUCGAAUUUGGAUUAUGAUUUGAUUUAGGGUUUAGGAUUUGGAUUAGAAUUUGGUUAGAAUUUGAUUUAGAAUUUAAGAUUUAGUUUAGGAUUUGGUUAGGAUUUGAUUUAGGAUAUGAUUGGGGUUUGAUUUAGGAUUUAGGAUUUUAUUAGGAUUUAAGAUUCAAUUAGUUUUGGCCUAAAGUUUGAAUGAAGUUCAAUAGGAUUUUAACUAGAAUUAAAUUAAGAUUGAAUUGAGAUGUAUUUGAAUGACAUUUGUGUUUUUUUCAAUGUUUCUUUAAAAAUUCCUAUUGUUUCUUUGAAAUUUCUUUGAGGUUUUUUUGAAUUUGAUUAAGCUUGUUUAGCAUUAUUAUAGUCUAAUUAGAUUAUUUUUAGUAUUCUAUUAGAAUUAGGAUUUUGUUAUUGCAAUUUCUAUUCUUCCUUCCAGAGCUAGGUAUCUGGAGCAUUCUCAAGCAAGACUUCACGUAUUACGACACGGUUUCUUUAGAUGUAACAAUUAAAGAUCAUAAA
This 747-nucleotide long non-coding RNA is filed under the name Physcomitrium patens. Its description in RNAcentral is "long non-coding RNA (PPAT_LNC012646)". Lineage: Eukaryota; Viridiplantae; Streptophyta; Bryopsida; Funariales; Funariaceae. The record is from RNAcentral.